Pelobates cultripes (western spadefoot toad) is the source of this 434-nucleotide non-coding RNA. NCBI's taxonomy places the organism in Eukaryota, Metazoa, Chordata, Amphibia, Anura, Pelobatidae. The record is from the annotation of a GenBank genome assembly.
CCUGGAUACCCAGACUGUACUGACUGACGUACCACUCCUGUAUAUCCACUAAGCGGGGAUUAUACCACUAUACGCCCUCCAUCCCAGAGCUGGUAUAGCUCUUUUCAAUGUGAGUUUAUUACCUAUCUUUAUUCAUUUUUAUCCCUGGAUUUUGGUAUAUUGCACUAUUAGUCGUAUCUCCCCUUUGUCUCUCCACAUAUACAGAUAUUUUAACCAUCUAGAUCAACUCCUGAGGAUUUCACCCUCACCCUAUCCUGAUAUUUUAGUGAGACUUUUAUUUCCGACUAAAAGAACUGCUUUGGUGUACCUAGUGUAACACACAGGGAAGAGGGAGACAGACUAGCACUAAGCUGCUCAAACUGGAAAUAGGGAUUCACUAAAAACCUAUAUAAAAGACAUAAAAAUCACCUUAAAAAUAAAGUGUGUAACUCCAG